Molecule: transfer RNA, 77 nt
Filed under: Candidatus Saccharimonadota bacterium
Lineage: Bacteria; Candidatus Saccharimonadota
Description: tRNA-Arg
Rfam family: tRNA
About the family: Transfer RNA (tRNA) molecules are approximately 80 nucleotides in length. Their secondary structure includes four short double-helical elements and three loops (D, anti-codon, and T loops).
Source: RNAcentral
GUGCCCAUAGCUCAGCUGGAUAGAGCGUCAGUUUCCGGAACUGAAGGUCGCAGGUUCAAAUCCUACUGGGCAUACCA